Molecule: ribosomal RNA, 419 nt
Filed under: bacterium
Lineage: Bacteria
Description: partial 16S ribosomal RNA
Rfam family: Bacterial small subunit ribosomal RNA
Source: RNAcentral
UGGGGGAUAUUGCACAAUGGGCGAAAGCCUGAUGCAGCGACGCCGCGUGGGGGAUGAAGGCCUUCGGGUUGUAAACUUCUUUUGCUCUGAACAAGGCGCACCAUGGGGUGUGUUGAGUGUAGGGGUUGAUUAGCGCCGGCUAACUACGUGCCAGCAGCCGCGGUAAUACGGAGGGCGCGAGCGUUGUCCGGAAUUAUUGGGCGUAAAGGGCUUGUAGGUGGCUGGUUGCGUCUGUCGUGAAAGCUCAUGGCUUAACUGUGGGUUUGCGGUGGGUACGGGCUGGCUUGAGUGCAGUAGGGGAGGCUGGAAUUCCUGGUGUAGCGGUGGAAUGCGCAGAUAUCAGGAGGAAUACCGGUGGCGAAGGCGGGUCUCUGGGCUGUUACUGACACUGAGGAGCGAAAGCAUGGGGAGCGAACAGG